RNAcentral lists this non-coding RNA (64 nucleotides) under Karenia brevis. The record is from RNAcentral. Lineage: Eukaryota; Dinophyceae; Gymnodiniales; Kareniaceae.
GCGCACGGCCAUAAAGAGACAUGUACAGCUUUAGGCUGGAAAGCGCAGCAGAAAAUACGAGUGC